CCCUCUACUGCGCAUGCGCCGACCCGUGUUGGCCCGCCCCAUUUAAAAGGGGGACCAGCUGGCCCGCAUCUACUGCAGACUGAUCGGUCCCCCGACGAGACAUCGGUCCCCCCUCCUUAUUCUGUCAUUUGCAUGCCUGUUAUUUUCCACUGUGUAUAACGAUUUUUUUUUACUCAUAUCUGAACACACUAUCUGUAAUAUACAACAGGAUAUAACGGUAUAGACUCAAAGAGCCCAGGGUUAACCUGGAACUGGGUUUCCAGAGCAUUUGAGAAGAGUGCCCCGCGGCUCUAUAUAAUGAGUUAUCCGGGGAUGUUAAGAACAGUGACAGUCUGGCAAUCUUCAAGAAAGCGCUGAAGACUUACUUAUUCACUAAGUCCUACGACUUAACAAAUAUGAGGAUUGAAGACAACUUUAGGUGCUAAUAUUACUGUUAUAAUGGUACGUAGUGCCCCUGUGGAGCGCUGCUGCGGCGGCAGACCGGGGCCUGAAACUUCAUCAACGGUAUCAAAACGUACAACUAAAAGCCUUCAGUAAAUUGGUUUCCCUUCUUUCUGUAUCACUUGUUGGGGUUAUUUCCUAGGCGAGACUGCUGCCACAUUAAUAAUUAUGGUCACCAAUCCUUUACAAAAUACCUAUAUAUGCUCUAGAUUAAUAUUAUGAAGACUGUAACAACUCCCUUAGGUUAGUAUGUUUUGGGAGGCGCCCACCAGGUUACGUUAGGAUAGGCUUCCCAACCCCAAAAUCCACAUGAUGAGGCGGGGGCUCUUGGAAGCCAGCACUCAGCAGAUGCGCAAUCAACGUAAUAAAAUUCAUAAUAUUAAAGAUGAAGAGCUAUAGUCCAUGUAGUGAUAUUCUAAAAGCUUUACCCCUAUAUGAUGAGCUAGUGCUGAUUUAAAUAGAUAGAGACUGAAGGAUGACCAGGGAUUCUGAGAGGCUAUUUUAUACUGGUGGACUCUAGUGGGUAGAUCAGGAGUUAGAACAAAUAGGUCUGAAGGAGCGAUUGCAGAUUUAUUACGAAAGAUCUGCCAGUACUUGAUUAUGUUCAUUAUUGUGUGUGGGGGAUUUAGCUUAUAGUUUAUUUUGGGGGUCUGGGGGGGCACACAUUACACAACUUAUGCUUCCAUUCACUUAAAUUUAAGCACAUACCAGAAACCGGUAAUUACGCGGCUCUGGAGUACGAUAAUCUGGCAACGGUGCCCUCGAGCCCCGAGCUCGCCUGCCUCACCUCAGCAGCCGCACCCUUUUUUUAGUAUGGUAUUUUACCUGUAUACAAUAGGUACAGGAUGUAAGCCAUGAAGUUGUGACCUCAUCUUCCCAGCAGGAGCAGAAGGCUAGCAAUCCUGCCCUCCUAUAUGUGUAUGUGAUCCUGCGGCAGUGAAAGGCCGACAGUCCUGCCCUCCUGAGUGUGUGUGUGUUUUGUCUUGCUACAAGAUCAGAAACGGUUUGAGCCAUACCAUGAAAGGGAGGAGCAUGCCGUCCCAACCCCCAGACAGUACAGAGUGUGAUUAUACAACUAAGGAUACAUGUGUAAUUAAGUAGCACCAGGAAUUAAAAAAAACAUUAUAUCCUUGCAUGUAUCUAUAUUAUAUUUGGAAAAAUAUGCUUGUUGUAUGUAUCCCUGAUAAUAAAAUUUAUCUACAUGUGCUUAAAUUUAAGUGAAUGAAAGCAUAAGAGAGUAAAGUGAAUGGAAGCAUAGUGAGUAAAGGUCUAAAAAACACUAUAUCCUUGUAUCUAUAUUAUAUUUGGAAAAAUAUACUUGUUGUAUGUAUCCCUGAUAAUAAAAUUUAUCUAUAUAACUGUUGCCAACAAGCACCAAUAAUUAACCAUUUAAACGAUAUCCAUAUAUGAAGGCAGUUAUUUGGGUGAUGAAAGCAGUUUAAUUAUUGGGUCGGAAAUCGGCAAACAUAAAAGGCUCAGUACGACAAUCUAGCAAUGUUGCUCGGGGGGACCGAUUUUUCCAGUGUUUUGGAGUGGGCCGAGUAGCGCAUAUAAACACAGGUCGGCGCAUGCGCAGUAGAGGGGGGAACAGGGGGGAACGUUCAGUCUGCCACACCCUGAAGUGCCCUGGCAGUGUUUCUCGUGGAGGAGGAGGAGCCCCUCGGCAUGCAGGCCCCCAGGCACAUGACUUUGUGUCCCAAUGUCCACCACUGGUGUUAGUGUUGAAGUGAGGCAUCGAGACAGUUGCUGUGGUCAGUCCUUGUUCCGUCCCUGCUGCCGCUGACUUCAGGACUCCUUGGUGCAUCCCUCGCCUUGCCUGCUCAAUUGGUCACUGAGUGUGGCUUUGAAGCAACCUCGCCGCCUUCUCCAGCAUCUCUGAGGUUCCUCAAGGCCAGCCAACUCCUCACAUCCAGAGUAGUGUUGCAGUGGAGGCUGCAAGGCGGGACAGCAGCUGGAGUGGCUGGGAACAGCAGGAGCAGACUGCUACUGGUGUGAGGUUCAGGAGUGAUAAAAAACACCGCCAACACAACCACCAACAACAACAACAACUGCUGGCCUCUUCAUCCACAAAGGGGGAAGUUUGAAUUUCAGAAGUGUGAGAAGAUCUGAGAAUGAGAGCAAGUUUACUGACCAAAGCCAAGAGUGUGAGAAAAGACAUGCAGGGAAGGAUGACCUCAACAAAUACACCCACACACUCUGGUGUAAGACCUCAUGAAAGUCGGGAGUGUGGCAAAAGGUUUAGGAAUAGGAGUAACCCCAAACAUCACACCCUUACACACACUGGUGCAAGAAACCAUGAGUGUGAAGUUUGUGGGAAAUGUUUCAAUCAGAAGGGUACCCUCAAAUUACACACCCUUACACACACUGGUGAAAGAAAUCAUGAGUGUGAAGUUUGUGGGAAAUGUUUCAGUCACAAGGGUAACCUCAAAUUACACACUCUUACACACACUGGUGAAAGAAAUCAUGAGUGUGAAGUUUGUGGGAAAUGUUUCAGUCAGAAGGGUAACCUCAACACACACACCCUUACACACACCAGUGCAAGAAAUCAUGAGUGUGAAGUUUGUGGGAAAUGUUUCACUGAGAAGGGUAACCUCAAAUUACACACUCUUACACACACUGGUGAAAGAAAGCAUGAGUGUGAAGUUUGUGGGAAAUGUUUCAGUCACAAGGGUAACCUCAAAUUACACACUCUUACACACACUGGUGAAAGAAAUCAUGAGUGUAAAGUUUGUGGGAAAUGUUUCAGUCUGAAGGGUACCCUCAAGAAACACACUCUUACACACACUGGUGAAAGAAAUCAUGAGUGUGAAGUUUGUGGGAAAUGUUUCAGUCUGAAGGGUACCCUCAAGAAACACACUCUUACACACACUGGUGAAAGAAAUCAUGAGUGUGAAGUUUGUGGGAAAUGUUUCAGUCGGAAGUAUAACCUCAAAUUACACACUCUUACACACACUGGUGAAAGAAAUCAUGAGUGUGAAGUUUGUGGAAAAUGUUUCAGUCGGAAGGGUACCCUCAAAUUACACACUCUUACACACACUGGUGAAAGAAAUCAAGAGUGUGAAGUUUGUGGAAAAUGUUUCAGUCGGAAGGGUACCCUCAAAUUACACCUUGUUACACACAGUGGUGAAAGAAAUCAUGAGUGUGAAGUUUGUGGAAAAUGUUUCAGUCAGAAGGGUACCCUCAAAUUACACCUUGUUACACACACUGAUGCAAGAAGUCAUGAGUGUGAAGUUUGUGGGAAAUGUUUCAGUCAGAAGGGUACCCUCAAAUUACACCUUGUUACACACACUGAUGCAAGAAGUCAUGAGUGUGAAGUUUGUGGGAAAAGGUUCAAACUGAAGAGUAUAUUGAACAGGCACGUCUUCAGACACUCUGGUCAUAAAGGGUUCAAGUGCGAUGUUUGUGGGAAACGUUUCAUGACUAAGGGUGAGAUUGUCAAGCACAUGAAGGUCCACUUCUCCUGAGGUGCUGUGCUGAUUCAGUUCUGCUGUGUGUCCGUGGUGUUAGUGUCAACUCGUAGGAGACACCACGGGUUCCUAUAAGAAUUGGCGGGUUGUCCAACCCCACCCCAACAAGAACCACCAAUAAUAUUCACGAAUCAUGUGCGAUUGAAAGUAAUGUUAAAAAUAUGAUAAUAUAUCAAUAUGUUUAAGUGCAAACGAAAAAUAGUGUACAUCAUCGUAAGGAAGAGAUUAAGGUGUUUAUUAGAGUGCGCGUUCGGGCUCCCUUAACCCCGUUGACACUGGUGAGUUAUGGGUCUGUUUAGUGUUUACAUUGUUCACCCGCACCGGGACGUCCAUCACCCCUUCAAGGUUUACAUCAUUUUCACAUGGUAAGUACAACAUUUAAGUAAUUUUUGAAUGCAUAAAAACACCAAGCUUUAGUAAUUCUUGGUCAGAACCAUGUUAUAUGCUCUUGCGCUCUAUCAAGCUUGGGCCAGCUGGUACAUCCCGCCAGUUUCAGUAAAUAAUUAUUCCAUUGCAGGCAUUUGCGGCAUAUCUGGAACUCCUCGAUCUUGUGGGUCAAGUUGAGGAGGUGAGGCUUCCCAGAGACCGGCAAAACCCAUUCACCUGUCUCUCUGAGGAGGACUUCAUAGAUCGCUACCGUCUCUCACCAGCUUGCACACUCCAACUGCUUGAGAAUGUACAGCCCCAACUACCCAGAGCACGAGAUGGCAGAGGCUGCAGUGUUCCUGGUCACCUGCAGCUUCUUGUAGCAUUACGCUACUUUGCCAGCGUGAACUUCCAGUUAACCAUGGCAGACUGUUUGGAGAUGUCUGCUUCUUCAGUCUGCAAAUUUGUUCACCGCAUAGCUGUUAUACUAGCACGCAUGUCACCUAAUUACAUCAAGUUUCCUGAACCUGCCAAUACACGUCAGGUAGCAGAGGACUUUCAUGCUGUCGCUGGCAUGCCUGGUGUCAUCGGCUGUAUUGAUGGAACAUUGAUUCCAAUUGUGAGUCCUGGCGGAGACAUUGCAGAAUUAUACUGCUGUAGGAAGGGUUACUUUGCCCUAAAUGUCAUGGCAGUUUGCGAUGAAAAAAUGCGUUUCACUAAUGUCAUUAGUAGUUGGCCAGGAAGUGUCCAUGACAGCCGCAUUUUUUAUAAUUCUAGGCUUUGUCAGAAAUUAGAAUAUGAAGGUUACUCAGGUUAUCUUUUGGGAGAUUCAGGGUACGCAUGCAAGUCUUACUUGUUGACUCCGGCACUGGAUCCCCAAACUGAACAAGAAAACAGAUAUAAUGCAUCACAUAUACGCACACGCAACACUGGAGGAAUCUGACAAAUAAAUAUUAUUUUUGUAUA
Eriocheir sinensis (Chinese mitten crab) is the source of this 5240-nucleotide RNA transcript. It is a transcript of the gene named zinc finger protein OZF-like, with no coding region annotated. NCBI's taxonomy places the organism in Eukaryota, Metazoa, Arthropoda, Malacostraca, Decapoda, Varunidae. The record is from RefSeq and is a predicted model, not a curated record. The transcript has 4 exons.